This is a non-coding RNA of Xyrichtys novacula (pearly razorfish), 5199 nucleotides long. The record is from the annotation of a GenBank genome assembly. NCBI's taxonomy places the organism in Eukaryota, Metazoa, Chordata, Actinopteri, Labriformes, Labridae.
GUUGGGGCAGCUGUUGUUGUUGUUGUUGUUGUUGGGGCAGGUGUUGUUGUUGUUGUUGUUGUUGGGGCAGGUGUUGUUGUUGUUGUUGUUGUUGGGGAAGGUGUUGUUGUUGUUGUUGGGGCAGGUGUUGUUGUUGUUGUUGGGGCAGGUGUUGUUGUUGUUGGGGCAGGUGUUGUUGUUGUUGUUGGGGCAGGUGUUGUUGUUGUUGUUGUUGGGGCAGGUGUUGUUGUUGUUGUUGAUGUUGGGGCAGGUGUUGUUGUUGUUGGGGCAGGUGUUGUUGUUGUUGUUGGGGCAGGUGUUGAUGUUGUUGUUGGGGCAGGUGUUGUUGUUGUUGGGGAAGGUGUUGUUGUUGUUGUUGUUGUUGGGGCAGGUGUUGUUGUUGUUGUUGUGGCAGGUGUUGUUGUUGUUGUUGGGGCAGGUGUUGUUGUUGUUGUUGUUGUUGGGGCAGGUGUUGUUGUUGUUGGGGCAGGUGUUGUUGUUGUUAUUGGGGCAGGUGUUGUUGAUGUUGUUGUUGGGGCAGGUGUUGUUGUUGUUGUAGGUGUUGUUGUUGUUGUUGUUGGGGCAGGUGUUGUUGUUGUUGUUGUUGGGGCAGGUGUUGUUGUUGUUGGGGCAGGUGUUGUUGUUGUUGUUGUUGUUGUUGGGGAAGGUGUUGUUGUUGUUGUUGUUGUUGUUGUUGUUGGGGCAGGUGUUGUUGUUGUUGGGGCAGAUGUUGUUGUUGGGGCAGGUGUUGUUGUUGUUGUUGGGGCAGGUGUUGUUGUUGUUGUUGUUGUUGUUGUUGGGGCAGGUGUUGUUGUUGUUGGGGCAGGUGUUGUUGUUGUUGGGGAAGGUGUUGUUGUUGUUGUUGUUGUUGUUGGGGCAGGUGUUGUUGUUGUUGGGGCAGGUGUUGUUGUUGUUGUUGUUGUUGUUGGGGAAGGUGUUGUUGUUGUUGGGGCAGGUGUUGUUGUUGUUGUUGGGGCAGGUGUUGUUGAUGUUGUUGUUGUUGUUGGGGCAGGUGUUGUUGUUGUUGGGGCAGGUGUUGUUGUUGUUGUUGUUGUUGUUGGGGCAGGUGUUGUUGUUGUUGUUGGGGCAGGUGUUGUUGUUGUUGUUGUUGUUGUUGGGGCAGGUGUUGUUGUUGUUGUUGUUGUUGUUGGGGCAGGUGUUGUUGUUGUUGUUGUUGUUGGGGCAGCUGUUGUUGUUGUUGUUGGGGCAGGUGUUGUUGUUGUUGUUGGGGAAGGUGUUGUUUUUGUUGUUGUUGUUGGGGCAGGUGUUGUUGUUGUUGUUGUUGGGGAAGGUGUUGUUGUUGUUGUUGUUGUUGGGGCAGGUGUUGUUGUUGUUGUUGUUGUUGGGGCAGGUGUUGUUGUUGUUGGGGCAGGUGUUGUUGUUGUUGUUGGGGCAGGUGUUGUUGUUGUUGUUGUUGGGGCAGGUGUUGUUGUUGGGGCAGGUGUUGUUGUUGUUGUUGUUGUUGGGGCAGGUGUUGUUGAUGUUGUUGUUGUUGUUGUUGUUGGGGCAGGUGUUGUUGUUGUUGGGGCAGGUGUUGUUGUUGUUGGGGCAGGUGUUGUUGUUGUUGUUGGGGCAGGUGUUGUUGUUGUUGUUGGGGCAGGUGUUGUUGUUGUUGUUGUUGUUGGGGCAGGUGUUGUUGUUGUUGUUGUUGGGGCAGCUGUUGUUGUUGUUGUUGGGGCAGGUGUUGUUGUUGUUGUUGUUGUUGGGGAAGGUGUUGUUGUUGUUGUUGUUGUUGGGGCAGGUGUUGUUGUUGUUGUUGUUGGGGAAGGUGUUGUUGUUGUUGUUGUUGUUGGGGCAGGUGUUGUUGUUGUUGUUGGGGCAGGUGUUUUUGUUGUUGUUGGGGCAGGUGUUGUUGUUGUUGUUGUUGUUGGGGCAGGUGUUGUUGUUGUUGUUGGGGAAGGUGUUGUUGUUGUUGUUGUUGGGGCAGGUGUUGUUGUUGUUGUUGUUGUUGUUGUUGUUGUUGGGGAAGGUGUUGUUGUUGUUGUUGUUGUUGUUGUUGGGGCAGGUGUUGUUGUUGUUGGGGCAGGUGUUGUUGUUGUUGUUGUUGGGGCAGGUGUUGUUGUUGUUGGGGCAGGUGUUGUUGUUGUUGUUGGGGCAGGUGUUGUUGUUGUUGGGGAAGGUGUUGUUGAUGUUGUUGUUGUUGUUGUUGUUGGGGCAGGUGUUGUUGUUGUUGGGGCAGGUGUUGUUGUUGUUGUUGUUGGGGCAGGUGUUGUUGUUGUUGUUGGGGCAGGUGUUGUUGUUGUUGUUGGGGCAGGUGUUGUUGUUGUUGUUGUGGGGCAGCUGUUGUUGUUGGGGAAGGUGUUGUUGUUGUUGUUGUUGUUGGGGAAGGUGUUGUUGUUGUUGUUGUUGUUGGGGCAGGUGUUGUUGGGGAAGGUGUUGUUGUUGUUGUUGUUGUUGGGGCAGGUGUUGUUGUUGUUGGGGCAGGUGUUGUUGUUGUUGUUGUUGUUGUUGGGGCAGGUGUUGUUGUUGUUGGGGCAGGUGUUGUUGUUGUUGUUGGGGCAGGUGUUGUUGUUGUUGGGGCAGGUGUUGUUGUUGUUGGGGCAGGUGUUGUUGUUGUUGUUGUUGUUGGGGCAGGUGUUGUUGUUGGGGCAGGUGUUGUUGUUGUUGGGGCAGGUGUUUUUGUUGUUGUUGGGGCAGGUGUUGUUGUUGUUGUUGUUGUUGGGACAGGUGUUGUUGUUGUUGUUGUUGGGGAAGGUGUUGUUGUUGUUGUUGUUGGGGCAGGUGUUGUUGUUGUUGGGGCAGGUGUUGUUGUUGUUGUUGUCGGGGAAGGUGUUGUUGUUGUUGUUGUUGGGGCAGGUGUUGUUGUUUUUGGGGAAGGUGUUGUUGUUGUUGUUGGGGCAGGUGUUGUUGUUGUUGUUGUUGGGGCAGGUGUUGUUGUUGUUGUUGUUGGGGCAGGUGUUGUUGUCGGGGAAGGUGUUGUUGUUGUUGUUGGGACAGGUGUUGUUGUUGUUGUUGUUGUUGGGGAAGGUGUUGUUGUUGUUGUUGUUGGGGCAGGUGUUGUUGUUGUUGGGGCAGGUGUUGUUGUUGUUGUUGUCGGGGAAGGUGUUGUUGUUGUUGUUGUUGUUGGGGCAGGUGUUGUUGUUGUUGGGGCAGGUGUUGUUGUUGUUGUUGUUGGGGCAGGUGUUGUUGUUGUUGGGGCAGGUGUUGUUGUUGUUGUUGGGGCAGGUGUUGUUGUUGUUGUUGUUGGGGCAGGUGUUGUUAUUGUUGUUGGGGCAGGUGUUGUUGGGGCAGGUGUUGUUGUUGGGGCAGGUGUUGUUGUUGUUGUUGGGGCAGGUGUUGUUGUUGUUGGGGCAGGUGUUGUUGUUGUUGUUGUUGUUGUUGUUGUUGUUGGGGCAGGUGUUGUUGUUGUUGUUGUUGUUGUUGUUGUUGGGGCAGGUGUUGUUGUUGGGGCAGGUGUUGUUGUUGUUGUUGGGGCAGGUGUUGUUGUUGUUGUUGGGGCAGGUGUUGUUGUUGUUGUUGUUGGGGAUGUUGUUGUUGUUGUUGUUGUUGUUGGGGCAGGUGUUGUUGUUGUUGGGGCAGAUGUUGUUGUUGGGGCAGGUGUUGUUGUUGUUGUUGGGGCAGGUGUUGUUGUUGUUGUUGUUGUUGGGGCAGGUGUUGUUGUUGUUGGGGAAGGUGUUGUUGUUGUUGUUGGGGAAGGUGUUGUUGUUGUUGUUGUUGGGGCAGGUGUUGUUGUUGUUGUUGUUGUUGGGGCAGGUGUUGUUGUGUUGGGGCAGUUGUUGUUGUUGUUGUUGUUGUUGUUGGGGAAGGUGUUGUUGUUGUUGGGGCAGGUGUUGUUGUUGUUGUUGGGGCAGGUGUUGUUGUUGUUGUUGUUGUUGGGGCAGGUGUUGUUGUUGUUGUUGGGGCAGGUGUUGUUGUUGUUGUUGUUGUUGUUGGGGCAGGUUGUUGUUGUUGUUGGGGCAGGUGUUGUUGUUGUUGUUGUUGUUGUUGGGGCAGGUGUUGUUGUUGUUGUUGUUGUUGUUGUUGGGGCAGGUGUUGUUGUUGUUGUUGUUGGGGCAGGUGUUGUUGUUGUUGUUGGGGCAGGUGUUGUUGUUGUUGUUGGGGCAGGUGUUGUUGUUGUUGUUGUUGGGGCAGGUGUUGUUGUUGUUGUUGUUGGGGAAGGUGUUGUUGUUGUUGUUGUUGUUGGGGCAGGUGUUGUUGUUGUUGUUGUUGUUGGGGCAGGUGUUGUUGUUGUUGGGGCAGGUGUUGUUGUUGUUGUUGGGGCAGGUGUUGUUGUUGUUGUUGUUGGGGCAGGUGUUGUUGUUGGGGCAGGUGUUGUUGUUGUUGUUGUUGGGGCAGGUGUUGUUGUUGUUGUUGUUGGGGCAGGUGUUGUUGAUGUUGUUGUUGUUGUUGUUGUUGGGGCAGGUGUUGUUGUUGUUGGGGCAGGUGUUGUUGUUGUUGGGGCAGGUGUUGUUGUUGUUGUUGGGGCAGGUGUUGUUGUUGUUGUUGGGGCAGGUGUUGUUGUUGUUGUUGGGGCAGGUGUUGUUGUUGUUGUUGUUGGGGCAGGUGUUGUUGUUGUUGUUGGGGCAGGUGUUGUUGUUGUUGUUGUUGUUGGGGAAGGUGUUGUUGUUGUUGUUGUUGUUGGGGCAGGUGUUGUUGUUGUUGUUGUUGGGGAAGGUGUUGUUGUUGUUGUUGUUGUUGGGGCAGGUGUUGUUGUUGUUGUUGGGGCAGGUGUUUUUGUUGUUGUUGGGGCAGGUGUUGUUGUUGUUGUUGUUGUUGGGGCAGGUGUUGUUGUUGUUGUUGGGGCAGGUGUUGUUGUUGUUGUUGUUGGGGCAGGGUGUUGUUGUUGUUGUUGUUGUUGUUGUUGUUGUUGUUGGGGAAGGUGUUGUUGUUGUUGUUGUUGUUGUUGGGGCAGGUGUUGUUGUUGUUGGGGCAGGUGUUGUUGUUGUUGUUGUUGGGGCAGGUGUUGUUGUUGUUGGGGCAGGUGUUGUUGUUGUUGUUGUGGGGCAGGUGUUGUUGUUGUUGGGGAAGGUGUUGUUGAUGUUGUUGUUGUUGUUGUUGGGGCAGGUGUUGUUGUUGUUGGGGCAGGUGUUGUUGUUGUUGUUGUUGUUGGGGCAGGUGUUGUUGUUGUUGUUGUUGUUGGGGCAGGUGUUGUUGUUGUUGUUGUUGGGGCAGGUGUUGUUGUUGGGGAAGGUGUUGUUGUUGUUGUUGUUGUUGGGGAAGGUGUUGUUGUUGUUGUUGUUGUUGGGGCAGGUGUUGUUGUCGGGGAAGGUGUUGUUGUUGUUGUUGGGACAGGUGUUGUUG